This is a long non-coding RNA of Paramacrobiotus metropolitanus, 1201 nucleotides long. RefSeq lists it as uncharacterized. NCBI's taxonomy places the organism in Eukaryota, Metazoa, Tardigrada, Eutardigrada, Parachela, Macrobiotidae. The record is from RefSeq and is a predicted model, not a curated record. The transcript has 6 exons.
UGUUACUGCGCACUGCGUACGGUCGGCUAGUAGACUAGUAAUUUAAUUGUAAGAUAGCGAGCAGAAAUCUAUUAUACUCGUAGUUCUUUUUCCGGCAGGCGGUGGGGUUGCCACUGCGACAGAGGGUGUUUAGCACCCGAGACCAUAUGGCUCUGUUGUGUAGAAUUUGUAAGGGUAGUCUUUUUUGUAGAAGCAGUAGUUUAGCCAUAUGUGUCCUGUCAAGGACGAUUUUCGGGUUGGGUGUUUCGAUAUAAAUGAGGCCGCUUUUAAAGUUCUCUGACGAAAUGAUUUUGGAUUGGAAGUUAUCGGAUGGGGGAGGUAGGUAUUUGCUGGUGAUUGGUGGUUUUGUGAAGUAUAGUGUGCUGUGGGUAUAUAAAAGGAAAUCGGAGUGCGGUGGAAAUUUAGUUGGUUAUGGGAAGUUGUGAGAAGUUUGUUGUCUGGAUUGCGUUGUAAGAUCUUAUUUGAUAGUUUGAUAGUAAAGGUUGUUGUAGUAAGGUGGAGAGUGAUUUGGAGUGCCUGGGAAGAGGUGUUUGAAGGGAUUUUGGCAGAUUUGUGACAAAUCAAAAUCGGAAAAAUUUGGAGAACAUGAUUUUCAUUCCGAUUUUUGUUCCGGUUGUUUGGUUGUAUGUUGGAGUUGUUUUUGUAUACAUGCCAUUUCAGGUGUAUGGUUAUUAUUGUUGCAAAUCGUUGACGACAGUGGUGUUGUGGAUGUUGUGGGAUAUAAUCAAAUUCAACAGCAAUUAUUUGGACAUUCAGCUGCUGCGCAUCAAAGCGGAUUGAUUGGGAUUCACGAUUUCUCAGCUAUGAAUAAGCAAUAUCGCGUCAUACUGAAACAGGCUUAUACUAAUAUUGAAGGUCGGAGCAAAGAAAUAAUCAGCAUAACGUAUAUGGAAGAAAAAAAGCCAGACGAAAUUCCAGGAAGUGCUAUGGAUAUUGUUGUCACUGACGACAAUACAACCGUACUGCAGCCUGAAUUCAGCAAACGAUCUGUUGGAACUCCGAAGAAACGAAACAAAUGAAUGGAAUAGCAUGAACCGUUGUUUUACUUUGAGAUGGACCAAUCGUUUUCAUUUUUAUUGUUGUUAUUUGAGCGAUUCAUCAAUUUAUUACCGCCAUUACACCAUUUUUCCUAAUUGCAUUAUUGUUAUCUGUGGUAUUAUUAUCUGACAGUGGUGGUGCGGUAUUAUUAUCUAUGUGAUGU